RNAcentral lists this long non-coding RNA (287 nucleotides) under Anser brachyrhynchus (Pink-footed goose). RNAcentral describes it as "lncRNA (ENSABRG00000014531.1)". The record is from RNAcentral. Lineage: Eukaryota; Metazoa; Chordata; Aves; Anseriformes; Anatidae.
UUCAUCUUUAUUAUUAUUAUUAUUAUUGUUAUUGUUAUUGUUAUUGUUAUUAUUUAUUUUUAAAUUAGUUCUAUUUGACUUUUCUUAUUUGUGGUUUUAAUUAAUUAAUUAAUUAUGUUGGGACCCUCAUUUGUUUUUGUAGUUGCUGAUAUAUCCUCAAAUCUACUUGAAUGGCUGCACCUGUGGUGGUGUGAGGUGAAAGGACAAGAUUGUCAAGAUAAAUAGUUCCAUGAAAUAAUAUAUCUGUUCACAGCCUGAGCAAGAGGUUCAGCUUCUGUUUAAAUAAC